RNAcentral lists this ribosomal RNA (514 nucleotides) under uncultured bacterium. RNAcentral's name for it is "partial 16S ribosomal RNA". It matches the Rfam family "Bacterial small subunit ribosomal RNA", at positions 28 to 523 of the family's 1533-position model. The record is from RNAcentral.
GAUGAACGCUGGCGGCGUGCCUAAUACAUGCAAGUCGAGCGAACAGAUGAGAAGCUUGCUUCUCUGAUGUUAGCGGCGGACGGGUGAGUAACACGUGGGUAACCUACCUAUAAGACUGGGAUAACUCCGGGAAACCGGGGCUAAUACCGGAUAAUAUUUUGAACCGCAUGGUUCAAUAGUGAAAGACGGUUUCGGCUGUCACUUAUAGAUGGACCCGCGCCGUAUUAGCUAGUUGGUAAGGUAACGGCUUACCAAGGCGACGAUACGUAGCCAGCCUGCGAGUGUGACCGGCCACACUGGAAAUGAGACACGGUCCAGACUCCUACGGGAGGCAGCAGUAGGGAAGCUUCCGCAAUGGGCGAAAGCCUGACGGAGCAACGCCGCGUGAGUGAUGAAGGUCUUCGGAUCGUAAAACUCUGUUGUUAGGGAAGAACAAAUUUGUUAGUAACUGAACAAGUCUUGACGGUACCUAACCAGGAAGCCACGGCUAACUACGUGCCAGCAGCCGCCGUAA